AGUGAACGCUGGCGGUAGGCCUAACACAUGCAAGUCGAACGGCAGCACAGUAAGAGCUUGCUCUUACGGGUGGCGAGUGGCGGACGGGUGAGGAAUACAUCGGAAUCUACUUUUUCGUGGGGGAUAACGUAGGGAAACUUACGCUAAUACCGCAUACGUCCUACGGGUGAAAGCAGGGGAUCUUCGGACCUUGCGCGAUUGAAUGAGCCGAUGUCGGAUUAGCUAGUUGGCGGGGUAAAGGCCCACCAAGGCGACGAUGCGUAGCUGGUCUGAGAGGAUGAUCAGCCACACUGGAACUGAGACACGGUCCAGACUCCUACGGGAGGCAGCAGUGGGGAAUAUUGGACAAUGGGCGCAAGCCUGAUCCAGCCAUACCGCGUGGGUGAAGAAGGCCUUCGGGUUGUAAAGCCCUUUUGUUGGGAAAGAAAAGCAGCAGGUUAAUACCCCGCUGUUCUGACGGUACCCAAAGAAUAAGCACCGGCUAACUUCGUG
Molecule: ribosomal RNA, 492 nt
Filed under: uncultured bacterium
Lineage: Bacteria
Description: partial 16S ribosomal RNA
Rfam family: Bacterial small subunit ribosomal RNA
Source: RNAcentral